Molecule: ribosomal RNA, 305 nt
Filed under: uncultured bacterium
Lineage: Bacteria
Description: bacterial SSU rRNA
Rfam family: Bacterial small subunit ribosomal RNA
Source: RNAcentral
ACCUACGGGGCGCAGCAGUGAGGAAUAUUGGUCCAUGGUCGGGAGACUGAACCAGCCAAGCCGCGUGAGGGAUGAAGGUACAGAGUAUCGUAAACCUCUUUUGUCAGGGAACAAAGGCGGGGACGUGUCCCCGGAUGAGUGUACCUGAAGAAAAAGCAUCGGCUAACUCCGUGCCAGCAGCCGCGGUAAUACGGAGGAUGCGAGCGUUAUCCGGAUUUAUUGGGUUUAAAGGGUGCGCAGGCGGUCUGUUAAGUCAGCGGUCAAAGCCCGGGGCUCAACCCCGGCCCGCCGGUGAAACUGGCAGU